CCUACGGGUGGCAGCAGUGGGGAAUAUUGGACAAUGGGGGGAACCCUGAUCCAGCCAUGCCGCGUGUGUGAAGAAGGCCCUCGGGUUGUAAAGCACUUUCAGUGAGGAAGAACGCCUGGUGGUUAAUACCCAUCAGGAAAGACAUCACUCACAGAAGAAGCACCGGCUAACUCCGUGCCAGCAGCCGCGGUAAUACGGAGGGUGCGAGCGUUAAUCGGAAUUACUGGGCGUAAAGCGCGCGUAGGUGGCUUGAUAAGCCGGUUGUGAAAGCCCCGGGCUCAACCUGGGAACGGCAUCCGGAACUGUCAAGCUAGAGUGCAGGAGAGGAAGGUAGAAUUCCCGGUGUAGCGGGGAAAUGCGUAGAGAUCGGGAGGAAUACCAGUGGCGAAGGCGGCCUUCUGGACUGACACUGACACUGAGGUGCGAAAGCGUGGGUAGCAAACAGGAUUAGAUACCCCUGUAGUC
Molecule: ribosomal RNA, 465 nt
Filed under: Vreelandella stevensii
Lineage: Bacteria; Pseudomonadati; Pseudomonadota; Gammaproteobacteria; Oceanospirillales; Halomonadaceae
Description: partial 16S ribosomal RNA
Rfam family: Bacterial small subunit ribosomal RNA
Source: RNAcentral